AUCAGAGUUGAAUUGGCCCCUCUUGCUGACACGUCUAUUCACCAGUUAAUGAUAUCUCGGACAUGGCCCCACAGCUUGGUGAUCCACAGGUUCACCCCAAGCUCAGGCUGCAUGGCUGUUUCUUGGAUGCUGCCAGCUUCAACUGCAUGACCCCCCUCAAUGCAGAUGGAGGCCAUCUCUGCGUUCCUUCUCCUGAGCUCUGCCACAUCCUCAGCCAUCCGCUGCUUACCAUAUGCAUCUACUUUCUUCCAAAAGGUCUGGUUGAAAUGCUGGUAUAGCUUCCAAUCAAUAGCAUUCCACUCAAGGGCCCUGGACCUCAGCUCAGGGAACGUAUGUCCACCAGUGUGAUGAGUCUUACUCAGGCAGACUGAAGUCAAUCUGUGGAGUGGAGAGGCAGUAAAGCAGGAUCAUGCAGCUGGUCAGGAGUGUACCCAGGACCAGACCUUUGCACAUGGACCUCCACUGCCUUCCUUGCUUGCCAGGCAUGGUCCAGCAGUGUCAAGGAUUACCUUAAAAGCCCAGAACAUAAUUUUCAUCAUCAUCAUUAUCAAAUUCAUCAUCAUCAUGUAAAGCAUUUUUUUACUUUUUAGGGUUCAAGACUCGAAGAGGCAGAACCAUACUGCUUUUGUGUUGGUUUAUUAUUAAUAUUAUUAUUAAUAAUAUUAUUAUUAUCUGCCGAAUCGGCUCAAAUUGCCGUGAGCUGGAAUGAGUUAAAAACAUGAAACUUGGCCCGAUAACACGAAAUGAUGUGCAAGUGCUUUCCAUGAAACAUGAGCCCAAUUGGCCAGAUGGUUGAGCUGUAAUUACAGCCCAAAAUUUCAAUUUUGGAAAUGCCACACCCUUAAUACCGUAAAUCCGAUUGACAUGAAAUUUGACACACAAGUCUAGCUCAAUGUGCUCUCCUCCUAAACUGUACGUCUCAAAUUUUCUGUGGAUCUUCAUUGGACCAAGCUUAUUAAAAGUUGCAUAAAGCUUGUUGAUAUCUUCUUUAGUUUUCAAGAUUUUUACCAUUAAACUUCACAAGGGGCAGUGCCUAACCUGUAAAUUGUCAUAACUCAUUAACGAUUUGUCUAAUCAUCAUAAAUCUUGUUAGAUAUUUUCAGUCUGUGUAUGGGAAUUGGUCUACCAAAGCAUUUUGAGCCUGACCCUAAAAUACCAAAAAUGUGUACCUCAAAACCUGGUGGAUAGAAUCUCACCAAGUUUGGUGAGCAUGAUCUUGGGGAAAGUAUUAACCAAGAUCAUAAGUGUCAUACUGUUUGGUGCAUGUGGGCAUGGCCUAUUCAUCAUUAUCUGCCAUCUUAUGCCUUUGCUCAGUUUGCUAUGAGCUGGAAUGAGCUAGAGACAUGAAACUUGGUACCAUAACUUUAAGUGAUGUACUAAUGCUUCCAAUGAAAUAUGAUUACAGUUGACCUGAUGGUGGCGCUAUAAUUAACAGUCAAAAAGUGAAAAAUUUGAAAGGCCACCCACUCCGUGAGUCCUAUUUACUUAACAUCUUACUCAAAUCUGCAACUCAAUAUGCUCUUCCAAAAAAGCUUCUUGGACAAUAAACGUCCACCAUGAUGGAUUUUCCACCAUUUUGGAUAUUUGGAAAAACAAAUUUUUGACAUCUCCUCCUUAACCGUAAGUUUGAUUGAUACCAAAUUAUCUGUGUAUCAUUAUUGGACCAAACUUAUCAAUUGUUGCUUAAAGCUUGUUGAUAUCUUAUUUGCUUCUCAAGAUAUUGACCAAUGAACUUCAAAAGGACAUGGCUCAGCACAUGAAUAGACCAAAGUCAACAACUGUUGGAUCAGUUAUCACAAAACUUGCAGGAAGUGUCCACAUAAGUACCUGAAACAUACCCUGGAUGUUUCAUUAAAAUCUACCACUAGGGAUGUUACAAAUGGAAAAAAAAAACAUCAAAAAAACAAUUGGUGUGGCACGACAUAAAUCAGACUAUAAAUCAGAAAUUAUUUUGUCCAAUCAUUACAAAACUCACAGGAUAUCUUUCAUAAUGUUGAACCACGUGUG
Long non-coding RNA from Xiphias gladius (swordfish), 2007 nucleotides. RefSeq lists it as uncharacterized. Lineage: Eukaryota; Metazoa; Chordata; Actinopteri; Istiophoriformes; Xiphiidae. The transcript has 3 exons. The record is from RefSeq and is a predicted model, not a curated record.